GGGGUUGUAGCUCAGUGGUUGAGCACUAGCCUCACAUGCAUGAGUCACUGGGUUCAACCCUCAGCACCA
Molecule: transfer RNA, 69 nt
Filed under: Ictidomys tridecemlineatus (thirteen-lined ground squirrel)
Lineage: Eukaryota; Metazoa; Chordata; Mammalia; Rodentia; Sciuridae
Description: Spermophilus tridecemlineatus (thirteen-lined ground squirrel) tRNA
Rfam family: tRNA
About the family: Transfer RNA (tRNA) molecules are approximately 80 nucleotides in length. Their secondary structure includes four short double-helical elements and three loops (D, anti-codon, and T loops). Further hydrogen bonds mediate the characteristic L-shaped molecular structure. tRNAs have two regions of fundamental functional importance: the anti-codon, which is responsible for specific mRNA codon recognition, and the 3' end, to which the tRNAs corresponding amino acid is attached (by aminoacyl-tRNA synthetases). tRNAs cope with the degeneracy of the genetic code in two manners: having more than one tRNA (with a specific anti-codon) for a particular amino acid; and 'wobble' base-pairing, i.e. permitting non-standard base-pairing at the 3rd anti-codon position.
Source: Rfam by way of RNAcentral